UAUCUCUGUAGAGUCUGCAUAUCAAUAAGCGGAGGAAAAGAAACUAACAAGGAUUCCCUUAGUAACGGCGAGUGAAGCGGGAAGAGCUCAAAUUUGAAAUCUUCAAGGUUCUACCUUGACGAAUUGUAGUUUAUAGAAGUGUUUUCUGUUAGUAGAGUGGCAAAAGUUCUUUGGAAUAGGACAUCAUAGAGGGUGAGAAUCCCGUAUUUGGUCAUUCUUUCUAGCUUUGUGAUACACUUUCAACGAGUCGGAUUGUUUGGGAAUGCAGUCCAAAAUGGGUGGUAAAUUUCAUCUAAAGCUAAAUAUUGGCGAGAGACCGAUAGUGAACAAGUACCGUGAGGGAAAGAUGAAAAGAACUUUGAAAAGAGAGUUAAACAGUACGUGAAAUUGUCAAAAGGGAAGCGUUUGACACCAGUGUUGUUUUUCCGAAAAUCAAUUACGAAUGUUUUGUUUUUGAGAAGUUAUGACUUCAUCGGCUUGCUUCUUUCUUUACGAAACUUUCUUAAUGCACUUUUCGGUUAACAAGUCAACAUCAAUUUCUUUUGCUGUAAAAGGGUACGAUUGGAAGGUGGCUUUCUUUUCGGAGAAAGUGUUUAUAGCCUUUGACUUCUGCAAUCGGAGAGAUUGAGGUCUGCAGCGUAGAUCCUUCGGGGUUAGAUACAUUUGUGCUAAGUUAUAGCCUUUUCAUAGACAACUUGUUGACUAUGAUCAGUCAUGUAGCUUACUCGCUUAUGUCUAUUUUACCUACGCUUAGGAUGUUGAGUAGCGACAUACGCAC
Molecule: ribosomal RNA, 778 nt
Filed under: uncultured Neocallimastigales
Lineage: Eukaryota; Fungi; Neocallimastigomycota; Neocallimastigomycetes; Neocallimastigales
Description: partial large subunit ribosomal RNA
Rfam family: Eukaryotic large subunit ribosomal RNA
Source: RNAcentral